CCUACGGGUGGCAGCAGUGAGGAAUAUUGGUCAAUGGACGAGAGUCUGAACCAGCCAAGUAGCGUGAAGGAUGACUGCCCUAUGGGUUGUAAACUUCCUUUAUAUGGGAAUAAAAUGUUCCACGUGUGGGAUUUUGUAUGUACCAUAUGAAUAAGGAUCGGCUAACUCCGUGCCAGCAGCCGCGGUAAUACGGAGGAUCCGAGCGUUAUCCGGAUUUAUUGGGUUUAAAGGGAGCGUAGGUGGAUUGUUAAGUCAGUUGUGAAAGUUUGCGGCUCAACCGUAAAAUUGCAGUUGAAACUGGCAGUCUUGAGUACAGUAGAGGUGGGCGGAAUUCGUGGUGUAGCGGUGAAAUGCUUAGAUAUCACGAAGAACUCCGAUUGCGAAGGCAGUUCACUGGACUGCAACUGACACUGAGGCUCGAAAGUGUGGGUAUCAAACAGGAUUAGAUACCCUUGUAGUC
Molecule: ribosomal RNA, 460 nt
Filed under: uncultured bacterium
Lineage: Bacteria
Description: partial 16S ribosomal RNA
Rfam family: Bacterial small subunit ribosomal RNA
Source: RNAcentral